This 440-nucleotide ribosomal RNA is filed under the name uncultured bacterium. RNAcentral describes it as "partial 16S ribosomal RNA". It matches the Rfam family "Bacterial small subunit ribosomal RNA", at positions 338 to 795 of the family's 1533-position model. The record is from RNAcentral.
CCUACGGGUGGCAGCAGUGGGGAAUAUUGCACAAUGGGGGAAACCCUGAUGCAGCGACGCCGCGUGAGUGAAGAAGUAUCUCGGGACGUAAAGCUCUAUCAGCAGGGAAGAUAAUGACGGUACCUGACCAAGAAGCCCCGGCUAACUACGUGCCAGCAGCCGCGGUAAUACGUAGGGGGCAAGCGUAAUCCGGAGUUCCUGGGUGUAAAGGGGGCGUAGACGGCAGCACAAGUAUGGAGUGAAAUCCCGGGGCGUAACCCCGGAACUGCUUUUGAGACUGUGCGGCUGUAGUGCAGGAGGGGUAAGCGGAAUUCCUAGUGUAGCGGUGAAAUGCGUAGAUAUUAGGAGGAACACCGGUGGCGAAGGCAGCUUACUGGACUGUAACUGACGUUGAGGCUCGAAAGCGUGGGGAGCAAACAGGAUUAGAUACCCCAGUAGUC